UUACCGAGUCUUCAGCGCUCCCAAAACCCCCGCGAACCCUACCCGCACCGUUGCUUCGGCGGGCGGCCCCGGCCAGUCGGGGCGGCCCCCGGCCCCCCCCAAAAAGGGGCCGGGCGCCCGCCGCAGGCACGCAGACCCUACAGUUUUCCCACGGGCCCUCUGAGACGACACGGAAAUAGAGUCAAAACUUUCAACAACGGAUCUCUUGGUUCUGGCAUCGAUGAAGAACGCAGCGAAAUGCGAUAAGUAAUGUGAAUUGCAGACUUCAGUGAAUCAUCGAAUCUUUGAACGCACAUUGCGCCCGCCAGCACUCUGGCGGGCAUGCCUGUCCGAGCGUCAUUUCAACCCCUCAAGCACCGCUUGGCGUUGGGGGCCCCUCCCCGCGGUCCGCCGCGGGGACCCCCGAAAAGCAGUGGCGGGCUCGCCGCGACCCCGAGCGCAGUAACUUACUCCCCGCUCCGGGCCGUCGCGGCGGGCGCCUGCCGUGAAAACCGGGCCGCCGCCCCCCCCGCGGGGCGCCCGACCCCCCCCCACAAGGUUGACCUCGGAUCAGGUAGGAAUACCCGCUGAACUUAAGCAUAUCAAUAAGCGGAGGAAAAGAAACCAACAGGGAUUGCCCCAGUAACGGCGAGUGAAGCGGCAACAGCUCAAAUUUGAAAUCUGGCCCCCCGCGGGCCCGAGUUGUAAUUUGCAGAGGAUGCUCCGGGCGCGGCGCCUUCCGAGUCCCCUGGAACGGGGCGCCAGAGAGGGUGAGAGCCCCGUAUGGUCGGACGCCUAGCCCGUGUGGAGCUCCUUCGACGAGUCGAGUAGUUUGGGAAUGCUGCUCUAAACGGGAGGUACAUUCCUCCUAAAGCUAAAUACCGGCCAGAGACCGAUAGCGCACAAGUAGAGUGAUCGAAAGAUGAAAAGCACUUUGAAAAGAGGGUUAAACAGCACGUGAAAUUGUUGAAAGGGAAGCGCCCGUGACCAGACCUGCGCCGGGCGGAUCAUCCAGCGUUCUCGCUGGUGCACUCCGCCCGGCCCAGGCCAGCAUCGGCUCCCGCGGGGGGACAAAGGCGCCGGGAACGUGGCUCCUUCGGGAGUGUUAUAGCCCGGCGCGCAAUGCCCCCGCCGGGGGCCGAGGAUCGCGCU
Molecule: ribosomal RNA, 1131 nt
Filed under: Sordariomycetes sp. genotype 506
Lineage: Eukaryota; Fungi; Ascomycota; Sordariomycetes
Description: eukaryotic LSU rRNA
Rfam family: Eukaryotic large subunit ribosomal RNA (bases 540-1131)
Source: RNAcentral